GUAGUUGUGCAUCUUCCGAUCACGCUUCAGUGAGGGAAUUAAGGACGGCACAUUGUCCUUGUAACAGGGAUCCAGCAGGGUGGCCAACCAGUAAUCAGCACAAGGUAGAAUGUGGGCAACUCGGCAGUCGUUGCACAGGCACUUUGGUGACUCUAGAUAACCUCGGGCCGAUCGCACGUCCCUGUGACGGCGAUGACGCAUUCGGAUGUCUGCCCUAUCAACUUUCGAUGGUACUUUCUGCUCCUACCAUGGUGACCAUGGGUAACGGGGAAUCUUG
Molecule: non-coding RNA, 277 nt
Organism: Pelobates cultripes (western spadefoot toad)
Lineage: Eukaryota; Metazoa; Chordata; Amphibia; Anura; Pelobatidae
Source: the annotation of a GenBank genome assembly